Molecule: ribosomal RNA, 1218 nt
Filed under: uncultured Rhizaria
Lineage: Eukaryota
Description: SSU rRNA
Rfam family: Eukaryotic small subunit ribosomal RNA
Source: RNAcentral
CGGUAAUUCCAGCUCCAAUAGCGUAUACUAAAGUUGUUGCAGUUAAAAAGCUCGUAGUUGGAUUUCUGCGGGGACGGAGCGGCCGGUCACAACUUGCGACUCGAGCUAGCGCUUUCCCCGCAUCCUGCCGCGAACCGUGCUACCAUUAGCUUGGUGGCGCUGGGGAUCGGCUCGAUUACUUUGAGAAAAAUAGAGUGUUCAAAGCAGGCCACACGCCUUGAAUAAGUUAGCAUGGAAUAAUGACUAAGGACUUCGGUUCUAUUUUGUUGGUGUUCGGGACUGAAGUAAUGAUUGAUAGGGACAGUUGGGGCGGUCUGUAUUCCAAAGCGAGAGGUGAAAUUCUUAGACCUUCGGAAGACAAACAGCUGCGAAAGCGUUCCGCAAGGAUGUUCCCUUUGAUCAAGAACGAAAGUUGGGGGAUCGAAGACGAUCAGAUACCGUCGUAGUCUCAACUAUAAACUAUACCAGCUAGGGAUCGGUCAACGUUUAAUCAUUCGACUUGAUCGGCACCUUAUGAGAAAUCAAAGCAUCUGGGUUCCGGGGGGAGUAUGGUCGCAAGGCUGAAACUUAAAGGAAUUGACGGAAGGGCACCACCAGCCGUGGAGCCUGUGGCUUAAUUUGACUCAACACGGGAAAACUUACCAGGUCCAGACAUAGUAAGGAUUGACAGAUUGAUAGCUCUUUCUUGAUUCUGUGGGUGGUGGUGCAUGGCCGUUCUUAGUUGGUGGAGUGAUUUGUCUGGUUAAUUCCGUUAACGAACGAGACCCCAGCCUGCUAAAUAGCGCGGCUGAGCUUUGCUCGGUGCGAGCUUCUUAGAGGGACUAUGAUGCGCGAUAGCACAUGGAAGUUUGGGGCAAUAACAGGUCUGUGAUGCCCUUAGAUGUUCUGGGCCGCACACGGGCUACACUGGCGCCUGCAACGAGCAUAUCAGCUGGCCCGAGAGGGUCUUGGCUAAUCUUUUGAACCGGCGCCGUGCUUGGGAUUGACCAUUGCAGUUGUUGGUCAUGCAACGAGGAAUGCCUUGUAAACGCGAGUCAUCAGCUCGCAUUGAAUACGUCCCUGCCCUUUGUACACACCGCCCGUCGCUCCUACCGAUGAAUGUUCCGAUGAAAUUUUCGGAGAGCGCCAGAGAACGGGGCUCUGCCUUGCAGAUCUGGAGGCUCAAAGUCACUUAAAUCUGAACAUUUCGAGGAAGGAGAAGUCGUAACAAGGUAGCCG